RNAcentral lists this ribosomal RNA (386 nucleotides) under uncultured Owenweeksia sp. Its description in RNAcentral is "bacterial SSU rRNA". It matches the Rfam family "Bacterial small subunit ribosomal RNA", at positions 488 to 876 of the family's 1533-position model. Lineage: Bacteria; Pseudomonadati; Bacteroidota; Flavobacteriia; Flavobacteriales; Owenweeksiaceae. The record is from RNAcentral.
AAGGAUCGGCUAACUCCGUGCCAGCAGCCGCGGUAAUACGGAGGAUCCAAGCGUUAUCCGGAUUUAUUGGGUUUAAAGGGUCCGCAGGCGGGAUAUUAAGUCAGUGGUGAAAGCCUACCGCUUAACGGUAGCACUGCCAUUGAUACUGGUAUUCUUGAGUGUGGUUGAAGUGGGCGGAAUAUGUCAUGUAGCGGUGAAAUGCAUAGAUAUGACAUAGAACACCUAUUGCGAAGGCAGCUCACUAAGCCAUUACUGACGCUCAGGGACGAAAGCGUGGGUAGCAAACAGGAUUAGAUACCCUGGUAGUCCACGCUGUAAACGAUGAUAACUCGCUGUUGGCGAUAUACAGUCAGCGGCCAAGCGAAAGCAUUAAGUUAUCCACCUGG